UUAAAUUGAAGAGUUUGAUCAUGGCUCAGAUUGAACGCUGGCGGCAGGCCUAACACAUGCAAGUCGAACGGUAACAGGAAGCAGCUUGCUGCUUUGUUGACGAGUGGCGGAC
Molecule: ribosomal RNA, 112 nt
Filed under: Salmonella enterica subsp. enterica serovar Montevideo
Lineage: Bacteria; Pseudomonadati; Pseudomonadota; Gammaproteobacteria; Enterobacterales; Enterobacteriaceae
Also listed under: 1 other name
Description: partial 16S ribosomal RNA
Rfam family: Bacterial small subunit ribosomal RNA
Source: RNAcentral